CCCUUAGAUGUUCUGGGCCGCACGCGCGCUACACUGAUGCAUUCAACGAGCCUAUCCUUGACCGACAGGUCCGGGUAAUCUUUGAAUCUGCAUCGUGACGGGGAUAGAUUAUUGCAAUUAUUAAUCUUCAACGAGGAAUGCCUAGUAGGCGCAAGUCAUCAGCUUGCGUCGAUUACGUCCUUGCCCUUUGUACACACCGCCCGUCGCUCCUACCGAUUGGGUGUGCUGGUGAAAUGUUCGGAUCGGCCGUUUGUCGCGGUUUCCGCGUCAUGUGGCUGAGAAGUUCAUUAAACCCUCCCACCUAGAGGAAGGAGAAGUCGUAACA
RNAcentral lists this ribosomal RNA (325 nucleotides) under uncultured eukaryote. RNAcentral's name for it is "partial 18S ribosomal RNA". It matches the Rfam family "Eukaryotic small subunit ribosomal RNA", at positions 1470 to 1796 of the family's 1831-position model. The record is from RNAcentral.